RNAcentral lists this long non-coding RNA (293 nucleotides) under Ananas comosus (pineapple). RNAcentral describes it as "long non-coding RNA (ACOM_LNC033955)". Lineage: Eukaryota; Viridiplantae; Streptophyta; Magnoliopsida; Poales; Bromeliaceae. The record is from RNAcentral.
AAAAAAGUAAAAAUAUGUUCAUGAAAGAGAUCAAGAAAGCAGGAUUAGCGAUAAUGCUUAGACUACUGUUCUAAAAAGUGUUGAAUGCCUACUGGAACCUACGACGGAUUUGUAACGAAUUUGUACUUCUAUCUCUGAAAAUGAUAUUAUUUUUUUCCAUUUAAUUAGUCCACCAGAUUGUUGAAAGCCUAGUAAAAAUCUAGUCCACCAGAAGUUCUAGAACAGAUGAUUACAAGUCUCUGGGUCGCUCGCAUGUAGUACACGAAUGUGUGCUUUUCUUGGAGUCUCUUUAG